Molecule: ribosomal RNA, 253 nt
Filed under: uncultured bacterium
Lineage: Bacteria
Description: partial 16S ribosomal RNA
Rfam family: Bacterial small subunit ribosomal RNA
Source: RNAcentral
UACGUAGGGUGCAAGCGUUGUCCGGAAUUAUUGGGCGUAAAGAGCUCGUAGGCGGUUUGUCGCGUCUGCUGUGAAAACUCGGGGCUUAACUCCGGGCCUGCAGUGGGUACGGGCAGACUAGAGUGCGGUAGGGGAGACUGGAAUUCCUGGUGUAGCGGUGAAAUGCGCAGAUAUCAGGAGGAACACCAGUGGCGAAGGCGGCGCUCUGGGCUGGAACUGACGCUGAGGAGCGAAAGCGUGGGGAGCGAACAGG